UACAGAGGUGGCAAGCGUUGUUCGGAAUUACUGGGCGUAAAGGGCGCGUAGGCGGCCUUCUAAGUCAGACGUGAAAUCCCCCGGCUUAACCUGGGAACUGCGUCUGAUACUGGGAGGCUUGAGUAUGGGAGAGGGAUGUAGAAUUCCAGGUGUAGCGGUGAAAUGCGUAGAUAUCUGGAGGAAUACCGAUGGCGAAGGCAGCCCCCUGGGAUAACACUGACGCUCAUGCACGAAAGCGUGGGGAGCAAACAGG
This 253-nucleotide ribosomal RNA is filed under the name uncultured bacterium. Its description in RNAcentral is "partial 16S ribosomal RNA". It matches the Rfam family "Bacterial small subunit ribosomal RNA", at positions 524 to 776 of the family's 1533-position model. The record is from RNAcentral.